Molecule: non-coding RNA, 552 nt
Organism: Parasteatoda tepidariorum (common house spider)
Lineage: Eukaryota; Metazoa; Arthropoda; Arachnida; Araneae; Theridiidae
Source: RefSeq, a predicted model, not a curated record
UUAUCGUAGUAUUAUAGUUUUAUGUUUACUUAUUUUAAUAUUUUUAACUUCCUAGAUGCUGUAAACAAUAUCAAGAAUGCAAUAACAACUUAUUGGAGGCAGAUCAUGCUUUUUGCCUUAAUGUUCCCGCUCCUAAACUUUGCAUUCCUUUAAAUCGAGAUGUUAAAUGUGGGUAUGCAGACAUUUGUUGCUCUAAUGCUUCAGCUCCGAAACUUAGAGCUCAUCUUUCUGAAAGUGAAAGCUGUGAAGAUAUUUGUUGCUCAAAUGUUUUAAAAGAUCAUAGAGAAAGCAAAACAGACAACAGUGGCAAAUGUGAAAAAUGUGAUCACAUCCCACCUCCAUUGCUACGUUUUAAUUACUCUACAAGAGAUGGUGAACAUGAUGAAUCUUCUAAUUUGGCUAGGUACGAAACGACUUACAAUGCAGAUUAUGGAAGAAAGUCCCUUAUGAAAAUGAUCCACGAAAGUAAUUACGCUAGAGAAGAUUCCCCUCGAUUUCUUGAAAUUUAUCCUUAAGUCUGCUGAUAAAUGCACAAAUAUUUCAACAAUUACU